UUAUUGGUCAAAGGCUAUGCCUAAUAGGCAUUCAAUAGAAUUUUUGCAACCAUAAUAAGAGUUUUAGUAACUUCACAAGGAACACUUGAGAAUCAAAAAAAAAAGUUGUAAGAUUUAAGAUUUUGGCUACAAUUUGUGUGCAAAUUUUAGAGGAUUUGGAGUUAUGGUGCUAAAGUUAUAACUCUUUGAAGUUAAGGUGUCUUUUUAAGAUAUAAUAUUGCUAUAUUGAGGAUACAAGGAGUUUCUGAUAGAUUUUGGAAAUCAAAAGAUAUAGCUACAAGAAAAUUUUAAGAU
Molecule: long non-coding RNA, 294 nt
Filed under: Physcomitrium patens
Lineage: Eukaryota; Viridiplantae; Streptophyta; Bryopsida; Funariales; Funariaceae
Description: long non-coding RNA (PPAT_LNC014731)
Source: RNAcentral